AAUGGGGUACAGUGCCUUUUUUUUGCCUGUGCCAGACGCGCAACUGCGCAACCCCCAGUGCAACAAUUGAUCGCCAGAUCGAUCUACAGCGAAAACUGGCACGUCAGACAUGAUCCAAUCGAGUCUGGGACCAGCACGGAUCAUCUACUGCGCGUGUGGGGUCCUAGCAAUGUUCCCUGUCUGGGAUUUCUCGUGUGGACACCAAUUCUGUACAGUGUACUUGCACUUGAGACAGCCAAGAGAGGCGCAAAAGAUGAACCCUGGAUUUGGACUUACCCUUGCACUUCCUACCAUGAUAGAGGAAGUCUGGCGUUCAGUUUUUGUCGCAAAAACAGUUGGAAAACAAGAAACUAACACUACUUGCUCUUUUGCUAUUAUUGCUAUAGACACUUGGCGGUCUCAGCACUAUACAAGUCAUCUAUAGUGUCCACCUGUUGGUCGGCCCGAAUCGAAGCAUUUUCAUAAGACACGAGCGGGAGUCGUGGAAUCUCCUCAACUCAACUCUACUUGGAUCAAACUUGACAAUACGAGUUUUAGGAGGGGUUUGGAUGACUAAUGGCUCUCGUUGGUGGCGAUAGUCUUAGUCAGCUGUUCGUACUGUGAUGUAUGGACGUUCUGGCGUCCUGGGAACGUCCUGAGAACGUUAGGAUCGGUGGGUCUGGACAGAUUCUGGCUGUUGUUUACGCCUACAACACUUUUACAUUAUUCUCAGCCUAAUUACUCCUGCCGACAACAGCCCCGAAGCCUGUACCGGUUCAGGAACGACUCUCGUGCUGGAUAAAAGGACUCGAAGUACUUCCCCCACUCGCUCUGAGCAUUUAUCGUGCCCUGGCAUCUCCUACUACUCCGUAUAUCAGCUGUUGGGGCAAAUGACAGAAGAUAAAUCUCGCCCAAAUCACCACUUCUCUGUAUUAUUCCACCGCUCGUACCCUACUCCUACUGUACCACGUCUCCACUGGUGCGCCAUUUCUUUUUCCUGUCCCAAACCCCCGCUGAUUGUCACACUAUUGACUAAACCACAUGAUAAUUGUCACCAAAGUGAUGAUAAAAUCAUUCCAAACUCGGCUGUUUUACUCGCAAUCACGUGGCACGGAUAUGACACGAGUUAACUCUCUGUUUUCUGAUUACGUACUCUUAAGGUCGGGUCCGUGGGAAGUGCAGAAAUCAUCUGAAUGGAAUAAAAAUGGUACUUAUGAGGUCCUCUGACAUGGGGCUUUCGAAUGGUGUAGUCCCCGUCUCCAUAUCUUGUCGCUACACCAAUCUCGUACCACAUGAGCCGCGGAAAAGCAACCCGAGCUUCAGAGUAGCUUUCCAGAAUGCAAGAGUAUCAGUUAAUUGCACCACUUGCCCCGAAUUGCUCUAUAUUUGCAAAAAAAGAGACAUCAACGUCCUCGUGAGAUACAAUGACCCGUUGUAUUCAAGUCGGAGCGCUCAUAUAUGACCCCUGGUAACAUAUCGGGGCCGUGCAAGUAGAUGGACUUUCAGAUCAACUGAGCCUAUGCUGGACGACCCAAUUGGGUCUAUCAACUCCGAUCUUGUCUUGCUCACGUGCACAAGGGUAGCGAGCAACUGUCGUUCACCUUCAUACCGCCUGACUAUGCGGUUAUACGGUUAGGCGUGAUGGUUAAUACGACGGUACGGCUUGAGAGGUAGUAUGAUAGUGGUACGAUAUGAGUGGGGUAAUGUGUGGUGAGUGGCAGUUGAUACGGUUGAUUGGGGUUAAUUGGGGUUAAUUGGGGUUAAUAGGGGUUCACAUGGCGGAACAGGGCCCUACUGCUGAACAAGAUCUCUAACGACCCCAAGUUCGCGGAACAGCGAUCUACUAGUGCUGUACCCACCUCACCCCACAACGAACUCCACUGUGUGGAUAGCCUUCUACCACUACACACAAGCGAGGUUGCUGGUUGUACGACGAUUCCAAUAGCCUUGGUAUACUAGUGCGAUCGGACUUGUUCCUUGUAAGUGGUAAUCAUGUCCAGUGGCAGCGUCUUGUGUGUGCGUCUUGUGUCUGUCUGUAUGCGUGUCUCCGUUUCAUUAAAAAUCUUAUCAAGAUA
Molecule: unclassified non-coding RNA, 2054 nt
Filed under: Yarrowia lipolytica
Lineage: Eukaryota; Fungi; Ascomycota; Dipodascomycetes; Dipodascales
Source: RNAcentral